RNAcentral lists this ribosomal RNA (1725 nucleotides) under Escherichia coli Nissle 1917. RNAcentral describes it as "bacterial SSU rRNA". It matches the Rfam family "Bacterial small subunit ribosomal RNA". The record is from RNAcentral. Lineage: Bacteria; Pseudomonadati; Pseudomonadota; Gammaproteobacteria; Enterobacterales; Enterobacteriaceae.
AAUUGAAGAGUUUGAUCAUGGCUCAGAUUGAACGCUGGCGGCAGGCCUAACACAUGCAAGUCGAACGGUAACAGGAAACAGCUUGCUGUUUCGCUGACGAGUGGCGGACGGGUGAGUAAUGUCUGGGAAACUGCCUGAUGGAGGGGGAUAACUACUGGAAACGGUAGCUAAUACCGCAUAACGUCGCAAGACCAAAGAGGGGGACCUUCGGGCCUCUUGCCAUCGGAUGUGCCCAGAUGGGAUUAGCCUAGUAGGUGGGGUAAAGGCUCACCUAGGCGACGAUCCCUAGCUGGUCUGAGAGGAUGACCAGCCACACUGGAACUGAGACACGGUCCAGACUCCUACGGGAGGCAGCAGUGGGGAAUAUUGCACAAUGGGCGCAAGCCUGAUGCAGCCAUGCCGCGUGUAUGAAGAAGGCCUUCGGGUUGUAAAGUACUUUCAGCGGGGAGGAAGGGAGUAAAGUUAAUACCUUUGCUCAUUGACGUUACCCGCAGAAGAAGCACCGGCUAACUCCGUGCCAGCAGCCGCGGUAAUACGGAGGGUGCAAGCGUUAAUCGGAAUUACUGGGCGUAAAGCGCACGCAGGCGGUUUGUUAAGUCAGAUGUGAAAUCCCCGGGCUCAACCUGGGAACUGCAUCUGAUACUGGCAAGCUUGAGUCUCGUAGAGGGGGGUAGAAUUCCAGGUGUAGCGGUGAAAUGCGUAGAGAUCUGGAGGAAUACCGGUGGCGAAGGCGGCCCCCUGGACGAAGACUGACGCUCAGGUGCGAAAGCGUGGGGAGCAAACAGGAUUAGAUACCCUGGUAGUCCACGCCGUAAACGAUGUCGACUUGGAGGUUGUGCCCUUGAGGCGUGGCUUCCGGAGCUAACGCGUUAAGUCGACCGCCUGGGGAGUACGGCCGCAAGGUUAAAACUCAAAUGAAUUGACGGGGGCCCGCACAAGCGGUGGAGCAUGUGGUUUAAUUCGAUGCAACGCGAAGAACCUUACCUGGUCUUGACAUCCACGGAAGUUUUCAGAGAUGAGAAUGUGCCUUCGGGAACCGUGAGACAGGUGCUGCAUGGCUGUCGUCAGCUCGUGUUGUGAAAUGUUGGGUUAAGUCCCGCAACGAGCGCAACCCUUAUCCUUUGUUGCCAGCGGUCCGGCCGGGAACUCAAAGGAGACUGCCAGUGAUAAACUGGAGGAAGGUGGGGAUGACGUCAAGAUGAGAAUGUGCCUUCGGGAACCGUGAGACAGGUGCUGCAUGGCUGUCGUCAGCUCGUGUUGUGAAAUGUUGGGUUAAGUCCCGCAACGAGCGCAACCCUUAUCCUUUGUUGCCAGCGGUCCGGCCGGGAACUCAAAGGAGACUGCCAGUGAUAAACUGGAGGAAGGUGGGGAUGACGUCAAGUCAUCAUGGCCCUUACGACCAGGGCUACACACGUGCUACAAUGGCGCAUACAAAGAGAAGCGACCUCGCGAGAGCAAGCGGACCUCAUAAAGUGCGUCGUAGUCCGGAUUGGAGUCUGCAACUCGACUCCAUGAAGUCGGAAUCGCUAGUAAUCGUGGAUCAGAAUGCCACGGUGAAUACGUUCCCGGGCCUUGUACACACCGCCCGUCACACCAUGGGAGUGGGUUGCAAAAGAAGUAGGUAGCUUAACCUUCGGGAGGGCGCUUACCACUUUGUGAUUCAUGACUGGGGUGAAGUCGUAACAAGGUAACCGUAGGGGAACCUGCGGUUGGAUCACCUCCUUA